RNAcentral lists this unclassified non-coding RNA (554 nucleotides) under Microdochium bolleyi. RNAcentral describes it as "sequence contains 18S rRNA gene, ITS1, 5.8S rRNA gene, ITS2, 28S rRNA gene". The stretch from base 184 to 337 matches the Rfam family "5.8S ribosomal RNA". Lineage: Eukaryota; Fungi; Ascomycota; Sordariomycetes; Xylariales; Microdochiaceae. The record is from RNAcentral.
UCGUAACAAGGUCUCCGUAGGUGAACCUGCGGAGGGAUCAUUACUGAGUUUUUAACUCUCCAAACCAUGUGAACUUACCACUGUUGCCUCGGUGGUCGGUGCUGGAAACAGUGCUGCCACCGGUGGACUACUAAACUCUUGUUAAUUUUUGUCAAAUCUGAAUCAAACUAAGAAAUAAGUUAAAACUUUCAACAACGGAUCUCUUGGUUCUGGCAUCGAUGAAGAACGCAGCGAAAUGCGAUAAGUAAUGUGAAUUGCAGAAUUCAGUGAAUCAUCGAAUCUUUGAACGCACAUUGCGCCCAUUAGUAUUCUAGUGGGCAUGCCUGUUCGAGCGUCAUUUCAACCCUUAAGCCUAGCUUAGUGUUGGGAGACUGCCUAAUACGCAGCUCCUCAAAACCAGUGGCGGAGUCUGUUCGUGCUCUGAGCGUAGUAAUUUUUUAUCUCGCUUCUGCAAGCCGGCCAGACGACAGCCAUAAACCGCACCCUCUCGGGGGGCACUUUUUUAAUGGUUGACCUCGGAUCAGGUAGGAAUACCCGCUGAACCUAAGCAUAUC